GAUGAAUGCUGGCGGCGUGCCUAACACAUGCAAGUCGAGCGGCAGCGAGGGGUGCUUGCACCCUGUCGGCGAGCGGCGAACGGCUGAGUAACGCGUAGGAAUUUGCCCCAAAGUGAGGAAUAACUGCCCGAAAGGGUAGCUAAUGCCGCAUAUGGUCUUCGGAUUAAAGGAUUUAUCCGCUUUGGGAGAAGCCUGCGUUGGAUUAGGUUGUUGGUAGGGUAAUGGCCUACCAAGCCGACGAUCCAUAGCUGGUCUGAGAGGAUGAUCAGCCAGACUGGAACUGAGACACGGUCCAGACUCCUACGGGAGGCAGCAGUGAGGAAUCUUCCACAAUGGGCGAAAGCCUGAUGGAGCAACGCCGCGUGAAGGAUGAAGGCCUUCGGGUUGUAAACUUCUUUUAUGAGUGAAGAAUAUGACGGUAACGCAUGAAUAAGCACCGGCUAACUACGU
Molecule: ribosomal RNA, 450 nt
Filed under: uncultured bacterium
Lineage: Bacteria
Description: partial 16S ribosomal RNA
Rfam family: Bacterial small subunit ribosomal RNA
Source: RNAcentral